Molecule: non-coding RNA, 110 nt
Filed under: Williamsia sp.
Lineage: Bacteria; Bacillati; Actinomycetota; Actinomycetes; Mycobacteriales; Nocardiaceae
Also listed under: 1 other name
Description: SAM-IV sequence
Rfam family: SAM (S-adenosyl methionine) riboswitch aptamer
About the family: SAM-IV is a mRNA element that regulates gene expression via direct sensing of S-adenosylmethionine (SAM or AdoMet). SAM-IV riboswitches share conserved nucleotide positions with the previously described SAM-I riboswitches sequence analysis and molecular recognition experiments suggest that SAM-I and SAM-IV riboswitches share similar ligand binding sites, but have different scaffolds.
Source: RNAcentral
GGUCAUGAGUGUCAGCAACAAGCCCCGGCUCGCUGACCGGCAACCCUCCAACCGCGGUGGGGUGCUCCGGGUGAUGACCUGGUUGCGGUUCGCCGCAGCAAGCGCGGGUC